Molecule: RNA transcript, 1987 nt
Organism: Acipenser ruthenus (sterlet)
Lineage: Eukaryota; Metazoa; Chordata; Actinopteri; Acipenseriformes; Acipenseridae
Exons: 10
Source: RefSeq, a predicted model, not a curated record
AAAGCACUUUGCUCAUGCUCCCAGUUCAGUGCUGCCUACGUUAGACUUGACUGAACAGCGAUUCUCAGAAUGCCAUCUAGAAUUUCGUACCAAUCCAGCAGCUCCGGCAGCAGGGGUUCAGGAUUCCGAGGCCUGUCAGCUGGGUACGGGCUGGGGGCUGGUAGUGGGCUGUCAGCUAGUAUGUCCCGUAUGAGCCUAGGUGGAGGUGGCGGAUUGGCAGCAGGUGGCCUGGGUAUAGGAGGUAGCAUUGGAAUGGGAGCAGGUGGCCUUGGCAUGGGCAGUGGAUAUGGGCUUGGUGGUGCUGGCUUUGGGAUUGGUGGGUCUGGCAUGGGUGUGGGCUAUGGUCUUGGUAUGGGAACAGCAAAUAUGGGCAUUGGCAUGGGUUCUGCUGGCGCAUUGUUGCCUAGCCCAGCUUUUGCCAUGGGCCGCACGCUGACAGCAGGGGGAUUGAGCCUAGGCUCUGCCCUGUCUGCUGGGUCUUCCAUGCACGCCCUUCCUCGUCCAAUACCAACCAGGGCAUCUGAGAAGCACACCCUGUCCAGCCUGAACGAUCGCUUCUCCAAUUACAUUGACAAGGUGCGAUUCUUACAAAAUGAGAACGCCAGCCUGGAGGCCCAGUUGAAUCAGUUGACUGGGGGGGCCUCUGUGGCACCUGAUUCCUCUGUUAACGUCAACUACGAUACCCAGCUUAAAGAGCUCAGGACCACCAUGGAGACCCUCACCUUGGAAAACAUCAAAUUUGAGAUUCAGCUGGACAAUAUUAGGGGAACCGCAGAGGAACUGAAAGCCAAGUAUGAUUUUGAAAUGGGAGUGAAAUAUCAGCUGGAGGCGGACAUUGCAGCCAUGAAAAGGGAUAUCGAAACCGCUUCAGACCUUCGCAUUGAUCUGGAGUCCAAAUAUCAAAGUCUUUCUACUGAACUUGAUUUUGUCACCAAAACACAUGAAGAGGAAUUGGCAAGCUUGCAGGUUAAACUGGGUUCCACCACCAGCGACACCUCAUCUGUGUCCAUGAUUGAGGUAGAUACAGUCAAAUCAUUUGACCUCUCAACGGCACUGAGUAAGAUGAGAGCAGAGUACGAGAAAUCUGUCCAGCAACACAGAGAAGAGGCAGAAAGUUACUUCAAACUCAAGAUGGAUGAAAUUCAAAGUGUGACAGUCAAGAGCACAGAGGCCAUUUCAGCAGCCAAGGUUGAAGUCUCAGUAGCACGAAAAGAGUUACAGACGUUGAAUUUGGAACUACAGUCUCUUCUCGCCGUGAAUUUCUCAUUAGAACAAAGCCUGGCAGAAGCACACGCACAAAGCAGUGUCGGGGUGGCUGAAUACCAAGCUCAAAUCACAAGCCUGGAGUCGGCCAUCGAAGUAGCAAAGGUGGACCUCCACAAACAGAUCCUGUCCUACCAGGAGCUUCUCGAUGUCAAACUAGCUCUCGAUGGGGAGAUAUCCACAUACAGGAAGCUGUUGGAAGGAGAUGACUUGAAACUUCCAGACAUUGAAGUUUACUCAGGAACAUACAGUUUUUCAGGAUGGAAUGCCCCUCACUCCUGCAGCACUCCCCAGCACUCCCCAGAAAAGACAAAAUAAAUACCAGCCAAGUAUCCAAUAGUGGACUGCAAAAGAAAGAAAUGUCAAUCACAGCAGAAGAUACAGAGACUUCUUCAAUCCCUUAAAACCAGCUAAUCAAGCUUCCUCUUCACGAUGCAUUGACCGGUGCCUUGAGUCUGUCAAUUUACAAUGCAGCUUUUCUUUAGAAAUCUAGAAUUCCUUAUCCCUGAAUAAAAUCCCUCUGUCUUGCAUUAUAAAAAGACUGUGUCUUUGUCACUGUACUUUUUUCACAUUGUCAACAGAAAUGAACACUAAAGCUGAUUUAUACUGCAAACUGUAAGAUGGCUCUUGUACCACGAGUCAUUAGUGAACUGGGGACAUUGCAAAGAAAGUCAGUUGAACGUCAUACUCAGAUUUUUGUCAAAAUAAAAGUCCCUAUAACCGA